This 84-nucleotide transfer RNA is filed under the name Podila humilis. RNAcentral describes it as "tRNA-Leu". It matches the Rfam family "tRNA". Rfam says of the family: Transfer RNA (tRNA) molecules are approximately 80 nucleotides in length. Their secondary structure includes four short double-helical elements and three loops (D, anti-codon, and T loops). Further hydrogen bonds mediate the characteristic L-shaped molecular structure. tRNAs have two regions of fundamental functional importance: the anti-codon, which is responsible for specific mRNA codon recognition, and the 3' end, to which the tRNAs corresponding amino acid is attached (by aminoacyl-tRNA synthetases). tRNAs cope with the degeneracy of the genetic code in two manners: having more than one tRNA (with a specific anti-codon) for a particular amino acid; and 'wobble' base-pairing, i.e. permitting non-standard base-pairing at the 3rd anti-codon position. The record is from RNAcentral. RNAcentral also lists the same sequence under 7 other names. Lineage: Eukaryota; Fungi; Mortierellomycota; Mortierellomycetes; Mortierellales; Mortierellaceae.
GUUGACUUCGGAUAGUUGGUUUAUUCCGUAAGGUUUAGGCCCUUUACCUUAAUUGGUGCAUGGGUUCGAAUCCCAUAGUCAACA